This 2084-nucleotide long non-coding RNA is filed under the name Oryza brachyantha (malo sina). RNAcentral describes it as "long non-coding RNA (OBRA_LNC001188)". The record is from RNAcentral. Lineage: Eukaryota; Viridiplantae; Streptophyta; Magnoliopsida; Poales; Poaceae.
CCCCCGUCGCGCUCGGCGUCUGCCUCGGCCUCAUCGGCCUCUGGUGGGUGCUCGACGCCCGCAAGUGGUUCAAGGGCCCCGUCAGGAACAUCGACGACCUCCACGCCAAACCCGACGACAACAACGGCAAGGUCUAGCUUUCUUCAAUCAAGUUUAGCUCACCUUUUUAGCAGCAGAUCAUAAUCUCAAGCCAAAUCAAAUCACUCUCUCGAUCGAUUAGAAGUUUCUUUCUUUUCUCUCUCUUGUAUUUUCUCCUGUCUUGAUUAGCCAUACGUGUGACUCGCUCAGAACAGAACAUGCAAGCAUCAUGUAGAAACAGUUAUGAAAAGAGAAAAAACACGCAAAGCAUCAUGAAGAAACAGCUGAGCAAAGAAAAAUAUUGUGAGCACGAAGGAAGAGGAAGGAGCGUCUAAGAACAGUAGGCAUGAGAGGCAUCGGGAAAACACCGAAGCAUGUCUCUAAACCCGUUGGAUUUAGGGACCAAGACGGUUUUUAGGCUUUCCUCCAUGUUCACAUGCCGACUGCUCUUGUACACCCGUUCAUAUCUAUUUAUCAUCAUCAAACUGAAAUUUGUGUAUUGUGUGUUUAAGCCUAAGAUGCUCAUGCUGUAAUCACAUGAGUGAAAUAGAAAGAGGAAGGAGAACUAAGAAUGAUAGGAAUGGGAGGCAUCGAGAAAACACAAAGAGAGAGCGCAUGCUUUCUCGUAUGUUCCCAGUCCCAUUAUUCUUAGAACCUCUCUUUCUUCCUCUUUUACACCUCACCGCCAAGGCACACCUACACCUACAAGAGUUAUAUAUGAAUGUUUGGAUUCAUGGAUUUUUUUUCCCUUGUCACAUUGGACUUUUGGACGUUAAUUAGAAGAAAUUAAAUAUAAACUGAUAACAGAACUAACUGUAUAAAUAAAUGUUAUUUCAUUAGACAAAUUUUUUAAGGCUAAUUAAUCCACGAUUAGCAAAUAUUUACUGUAGCACCACAUUCACUAAUCAUGGAUUAAUUAGGCUUAUUAGAUUCGUUUCGCGAAAUAGUCUUGAGUAUGAGAUGGAUUUUAUUAAUAGUCUAUAUUUAAUAAUUUUAAUUAGUGUCUAAACAUUUAAUGUGACAGUGACAAAAAAAAUUGUGUGGAUCCAAACAGGAUCUAAGAUUUUUUUUGCAAUGUUUGAACAAUGCAACUUCUGAGGUACUACGUAUAACAACCUAGGCUCUAUAUAGAAGUAACAGGGACAGUAUUGAGAUCAAUGCACAGACCUACUCCAUGGUGCAAGGCAUCUUGGCCUUGUUUUGUUCCUAAUUUUUUUUUUCCAAAAACAUCACAUCGAAUUUUUAGACAUUUCAUCUAAAUAAAACAUUAAAUGUAUAUGAACCAAAAAACUAAUUGUACAGUUACGAAACAAAUCUUGAUACAAAUUUUUUUGAGCCUAAUUAAUUCAUGAUUAGCCAUAAGUGCUACAAUAACCAACAUAUGCUAAUGACGGAUUAAUUAGGCUCAAAAGUUUCGUCCCGCGGUUUCUAGGCUAGCCAUGAAAUUCGUUUUUUUCAUUCGUAUCCGAAAACUCCUUCUGACAUCCGAUUAAACAUUUAACUUGACAUUUAUCCCAAAAUUUUUCUCGAUCUAAAUACCCCCUUCCCUGGGUGGGUGGGCGGCUACGCGGUGCCCAUCUUCGCCCGGAUGGUGAUGCGGGAGGCCGACUUCUCGCCGGGCCCGUUCUACCUCCGCCGCGCCAGCCGCCCCGUCUGCCUCGUCGCCUUCCUCUGGAUCUGCUACACCUGCUCCGUCUUCCUCCUCCCGACCACCUACCCGAUCAGCGCUGGCAACUUCAACUACGCCCCCGUCGCGCUCGGCGUCUGCCUCGGCCUCAUCGGCCUCUGGUGGGUGCUCGACGCCCGCAAGUGGUUCAAGGGCCCCGUCAGGAACAUCGACGACCUCCACGCCAAACCCGACGACAACAACGGCAAGGUCUAGCUUUCUUCAAUCAAGUUUAGCUCACCUUUUUAGCAGCAGAUCAUAAUCUCAAGCCAAAUCAAAUCACUCUCUCGAUCGAUUAGAAGUUUCUUUCUUUUCUCUCUCUUGUAUUUUCUCCUGUCUU